Molecule: ribosomal RNA, 443 nt
Filed under: uncultured bacterium
Lineage: Bacteria
Description: SSU rRNA
Rfam family: Bacterial small subunit ribosomal RNA
Source: RNAcentral
AGAACGAACGCUGGCGGCAGGCUUAACACAUGCAAGUCGAGCGCCCCGCAAGGGGAGCGGCAGACGGGUGAGUAACGCGUGGGAACAUACCCUCCGGUUCGGAAUAGCUCAGGGAAACUUGGAUUAAUACCGGAUACGGCCUAGCGGCGAAAGAUUGAUCGCCGGAGGAUUGGCCCGCGUCUGAUUAGCUAGUUGGUGGGGUAAUGGCCCACCAAGGCGACGAUCAGUAGCUGGUCUGAGAGGAUGAUCAGCCACAUUGGGACUGAGACACGGCCCAAACUCCUACGGGAGGCAGCAGUGGGGAAUAUUGGACAAUGGGCGCAAGCCUGAUCCAGCCAUGCCGCGUGAGUGAUGACGGCCUUAGGGUUGUAAAGCUCUUUCGCUAGGGACGAUAAUGACGGUACCUAGACAAGAGCCCCGGCUAACUUCGUGCCAGCAGCCGC